Molecule: long non-coding RNA, 2125 nt
Filed under: Homo sapiens (human)
Lineage: Eukaryota; Metazoa; Chordata; Mammalia; Primates; Hominidae
Description: long non-coding RNA NONHSAT208258.1
Source: RNAcentral
GCGAAAUUUAGCAUGUGUUGACCAGCAGUAUCCCACGGAAGCAGGAUGCUAAGAACAGUUCCCGGCAACAUGGCCUUUGUGUGGAGGCUGGAAAACAACAGGAGUUGUGAAGCUUAUUUGGCUCAGGGAACAAGAAGAGCUGGGGGCUGUUAAUAAGUAGGUCUCCGAGCUGUCAGUGCUGGGACUGACAGUGGCCGAUCAGCUGGAGCCCUGUGGGAGCCAGCUCUCCCUUUCAUGGCACCACCUGUGUGAUGUAUCUCAACAACAUGGCACAUAUGGAGCCAGGCUAUUUCUGAAAGAUAUUACAAUGAAUUUCAGCUUAAACAAUUAAAAACAGAUUUCUCUUUCUAAAAUUAGAUAAAGCAGACUGAUUAGAUAAAUAUCAAAGAUUUCCAGAAUAAGACAAGCUGGAGAAGGGGUUGGCAAACAGUGGUUCCAGGCUGGCAGCCUGUUUUUACAAAUAAAGUUUUAUUGAAACACACUCUUUAUUUUAUCAAUCAUAUAUGGCUGCUUUCAGGAUACAACAGAGGGACUGAGUAGUUGCGACAGAGACCAAAUGAUCUCCAAGAGCCUAAAACAUUUCCUAUGUGGCCCUUGAAGAAAGUUUCCUGACCUCUGCUCUAGUGCAAUGGUCCCUGGGUCAGGUCUUUUCAGUAAUUCCAAAAUCGAACUGGAUUUGUGUGUGAAAUGGCCACAGAGAAUAACUACAACAAGGGAUAUCAAACUGGCGGAGCAGUCAAAUCCAGGCUGUACACGUGCAUUCUUUGGGCAGCAGUGUUGUGUUUUAUAAAAAUUAGCAACAUUUUAAAAUAAGGAGUUUUCACAUAAAAUGUCUGAUUUGGGGCUACUCUUGGCCCACAUCCCUGCAAGCAACUGUGGCCAGAGCCCAGCAAUAGCAGCCUUCUUUAGAGGGGACAUCUCCUGUUCCACUUUACCACAAUUCCGACCACAUCUUACUGUUUCCCCAUCACUAAGACAGUAUCAGACACCAUGGGUCAUGAUUCUUGCCCCACUGGGUCCACACCUGUGGGGGCUUCAUUUUGUAUUACCUGCCAGUUGGCAUAUGAGUUUGCAACCCAGCACUGACAUCAAGAUUCUUUGCUUUAGGCUUGAAUUCUCUCAGGUCACUCUCAAGCACAGGUUGUGUCCUGCUGAUGAGAAGCACUGUUACUACUGACAUUCAGUUAUUCUGUUAACUAUUACUCACAUUAAUACAUUGUCUGGAAGAAAAUAAUAAAAGUGAUGUUUCAUAAUGAAAAGAUGGGGGAACCAUUACUCUAAAACAGUGAAGGAAACAAAAUAUAUUGUCUUAGGUAAUCAGAGUGAUCUUUCUUUACCAAUCAUUAGUAACCAGUAGACUGUCAACUCCAGGAGGACAAGGGGUCCAGCCACUCCCGAUGUUUUCUCCGCAGCCAAGCAGGCCCAUCUGCCUUGCUAACAUUUUCUCCCAGGGCUUCUGGCUCUGAAUGAGUGUUCCCCAAAGUGUGGUCCCUGAGCUACCUGUGUACAACCACCUGGAGUGCUUGUUAAAGAUGCAGUUUCCUGGAUCCACCCUAGGCCAACAAAAACAGAAUCUGUUUGUUGGGACCUCAGAAUCGCCAUCAUCAAUUUUUUUAAACAAACAACUGUUGAUGAGCAAAAGCCAACAGCAUUGAGCAAUGGUCAGCUGCUAGCAAUUCUGCUGGGUCAACCAUGUGAGCCUUCAAUUCUAGACUCUCAAGAUGACUCUGAUAUGCUAAUGUGGAGACUAUGCGCUCAGGAGAAUGGCCAAACAGUAUUCUAGAGAAUAAGCACCAAACAUGAAACAUGCAAAGGGCAACGGUGAUGCCCACUACUGGGAGGGAGCCCACCUUUGGAGAAAGCCCACCAGUAGACUCUCCUCAGUUACCAGGGAAGCCAUAGAGAGAGUUCUGGAAUGCCCUGGAAUGCCCUUAGAAGUCAUCUAUGCUACAAUUUUUGACAAUUUUAUUUGCCUUCUGAUCUCCAAGGAUGAAGGUACAGUUAACCUUUUUUAGAAAAUUUGAGCCCUUAUCUGCCAUCACAAGGAUUUACUUGCUUUGUAUUUGGAGGGAAGAAAAGAAUGUUGAUUUUUAGAAGGGUUUUAAAAAUAAUAAUUGCAUCUCCC